This 387-nucleotide ribosomal RNA is filed under the name uncultured bacterium. RNAcentral describes it as "bacterial SSU rRNA". It matches the Rfam family "Bacterial small subunit ribosomal RNA", at positions 28 to 417 of the family's 1533-position model. The record is from RNAcentral.
GACGAACGCUGGCGGCGUGCUUAACACAUGCAAGUCGAGCGGUAAGGCCCCUUCGGGGGUACACGAGCGGCGAACGGGUGAGUAACACGUGGGUGACCUGCCCUCAGCUCUGGGAUAAGCCUGGGAAACUGGGUCUAAUACCGGAUAUGACCUUUGCCUGCAUGGGUGGGGGUGGAAAGAUUUGUUUUGGCUGGGGAUGGGCCUGCGGUCUAUCAGCUUGUUGGUGGGGUGAUGGCCUACCAAGGCGACGACGGUAGCCGGCCUGAGAGGGCGACCGGCCACACUGGGACUGAGACACGGCCCAGACUCCUACGGGAGGCAGCAGUGGGGAAUAUUGCGCAAUGGGCGGAAGCCUGACGCAGCGACGCCGCGUGGGGAUGACGGCCU